AAUGCCGCGUGGGUGAAGAAGGCCUGCGGGUUGUAAAGCCCUUUCAGCUGGGAGGAAAGCGUCUGGUUAAUACCCAGGCGUAUUGACGUUACCAGCAGAAGAAGCACCGGCUAACUCCGUGCCAGCCACUUCGGUGACUGAGCGGGCUGGCAAGGCGCAUA
RNAcentral lists this ribosomal RNA (161 nucleotides) under uncultured bacterium. Its description in RNAcentral is "partial 16S ribosomal RNA". It matches the Rfam family "Bacterial small subunit ribosomal RNA", at positions 393 to 539 of the family's 1533-position model. The record is from RNAcentral.